This 1315-nucleotide ribosomal RNA is filed under the name Clostridiaceae bacterium FH062. RNAcentral's name for it is "bacterial SSU rRNA". It matches the Rfam family "Bacterial small subunit ribosomal RNA", at positions 90 to 1420 of the family's 1533-position model. Lineage: Bacteria; Bacillati; Bacillota; Clostridia; Eubacteriales; Clostridiaceae. The record is from RNAcentral.
GAUUAGCGGCGGACGGGUGAGUACACGUGGGUAACCUGCCUUGUAGAGGGGGAUAGCCUUCCGAAAGGAAGAUUAAUACCGCAUAACAUCUUUUUAUCGCAUGGUAGAAAGAUCAAAGGAGCAAUCCGCUACAAGAUGGACCCGCGGCGCAUUAGCUAGUUGGUGAGGUAACGGCUCACCAAGGCGACGAUGCGUAGCGACCUGAGAGGGUGAUCGGCCACAUUGGAACUGAGACACGGUCCAGACUCCUACGGGAGGCAGCAGUGGGGAAUAUUGCGCAAUGGGGGAAACCUGACGCAGCAACGCCGCGUGAAUGAAGAAGGCCUUAGGGUUGUAAAGUUCUGUUUACGGGGACGAUAAUGACGGUACCCGUGGAGGAAGCCACGGCUACUACGUGCCAGCAGCCGCGGUAAUACGUAGGUGGCAAGCGUUGUCCGGAUUUACUGGGCGUAAAGGGAUGCGUAGGCGGAUGUUUAAGUGAGAUGUGAAAUACCCGGGCUCAACUGGGUGCUGCAUUUCAAACUGGACAUCUAGAGUGCCGGGAGAGGAAGCGGAUUCCUAGUGUAGCCGCUGAAUGCGUAGAGAUAGGAGAACACCAGUCGCGAAGGCGGCUUUCUGGACCGUACUGACGCUAGCAUGAAAGCCGUGGGGCCAAACCAGGGAUUAGGUUACCCUGGUAGUUCCCACCGCCCGUUAAACCGAAUGAAUACUUAGGGGGGAGGAGGGUAUCGACUCCUUCGUGCCGCCAGUUAACCACCAUAAGUAAUCCGCCUGGGAAGUACGAUCCGCCAGAUUAAAAACUCAAAGGAAUUGACGGGGGCCCGCACAAGCAGCGGAGCAUGUUGGUUUAAUCGCAGCAACGCGAAGAACCUUACCUAGACUUGACAUCUCCUGAAUUACCCUUAAUCGCGGAAAGCUUCGGGGCAGGAAGACAGGUGGUGCAUGGUUGUCGUCAGCUCGUGUCGUGAGAUGUUGGGUUAAGUCCCGCAACGAGCGCAACCCUUAUCAUUAGUUGCUACCAUUAAGUUGAGCACUCUAGUGAGACUGCCACGGUUAACGUGGAGGAAGGUGGGGAUGACGUCAAAUCAUCAUGCCCCUUAUGUCUAGGGCUACACACGUGCUACAAUGGUGAAUACAAAUAGAUGCAAUACCGCGAGNUGGAGCCAAACUAUAAAAUUCAUCCCAGUUCGGAUUGCAGUCUGAAACUCGACUGCAUGAAGCCGGAGUUGCUAGUAAUCGCGAAUCAGCAUGUCGCNGUGAAUACGUUCCCGGGCCUUGUACACACCGCCCGUCACACCAUGAGAGCUGUAACACC